ACAAAGAAGAGUUUGAUCCUGGCUCAGGAUGAACGCUAGCGAUAGGCCUAACACAUGCAAGUCGAGGGGCAGCAUAGAGUAGCAAUACUUUGAUGGCGACCGGCGCACGGGUGAGUAACACGUAUGCAACCUACCUACAUCAGGGGAAUAACCC
This 154-nucleotide non-coding RNA is filed under the name Dysgonomonas mossii DSM 22836. Its description in RNAcentral is "Bacterial small subunit ribosomal RNA". It matches the Rfam family "Bacterial small subunit ribosomal RNA", at positions 1 to 149 of the family's 1533-position model. Lineage: Bacteria; Pseudomonadati; Bacteroidota; Bacteroidia; Bacteroidales; Dysgonomonadaceae. The record is from Rfam by way of RNAcentral.